GUCACCUGAGGAUUUGUUAAAAUGCAGAUUCUGACUCAGAAGAUUUAGGAUUCUGCUUUUCUAACAAGCUCCCAGGUGAUGCUCA
RNAcentral lists this microRNA precursor (85 nucleotides) under Loxodonta africana (African savanna elephant). RNAcentral's name for it is "mir-544 microRNA precursor family". It matches the Rfam family "mir-544 microRNA precursor family". Lineage: Eukaryota; Metazoa; Chordata; Mammalia; Proboscidea; Elephantidae. The record is from Rfam by way of RNAcentral.